CCUGCCUCCACAGCCUAUUAUGACAGGCUAUCAACUGUGGCCUGGGCAGCCACAGUUAGGCCUGAACUGCAUUGUCUAUAUGGAAGAGGAGGACUGAGGUCAGACAUCAAGGUCAAGACGGGAAAGGGAGUGAGGAGAACCCUUGACACUCUAGAAAUGGGGAGACUAAAGCUGAAAAAAGGAUACAUGAUGGACAAUGAUGCCUGGAUUAACCCAAAUAGGGAUUUCAGACAGAGAUUACACGGGUAUCCACCGCCUCCACCCCCACCCCCACGACCUACACAGCCGCAUACGGUCUCGGGCCAACCCCGGCUUCUUCAAUGCUCAGUGGUAAACCUGAACCCCUUUGAGGAGAGGAACACCAUCUUGGAGUUAGAGCAGGCCAACCAAAAACUGAAGGAUAUGAACCAGGAGCUGAGGGAGCAGCUCGAAGACAUCAUGGAGCCAAGGGAGAUGAGGCAUGACUUUAUGUGCCCCAACCAUCAGCAGCAAUUACAGAUCCUGUCUUGGAAUCUCAAAAAAGAUAUUGGAGAUGUGUUAAAGGAGGUGGAAGACAUACGAAUGGAAAUUCUUCGGGACAAGGCCCGGUACCACACUCUGACCAGGAAAGGCUUGCUUAUGCAGAAGAAGAAGCCGUCUCAGCCGCCCCCCCAGAUGUCCAGAUGACCAGAUGUCCAGG
RNAcentral lists this long non-coding RNA (679 nucleotides) under Phascolarctos cinereus (koala). Its description in RNAcentral is "lncRNA (ENSPCIG00000027701.2)". Lineage: Eukaryota; Metazoa; Chordata; Mammalia; Diprotodontia; Phascolarctidae. The record is from RNAcentral.